UACGUAGGGCGCAAGCGUUAUCCGGAAUUAUUGGGCGUAAAGAGCUCGUAGGCGGUUUGUCGCGUCUGCCGUGAAAGUCCGGGGCUCAACUCCGGAUCUGCGGUGGGUACGGGCAGACUAGAGUGAUGUAGGGGAGACUGGAAUUCCUGGUGUAGUGGUGAAAUGCGUAGAGAUCCGGAGGAACCCCAGAGGCGAAGGCGGCAUCCUGGCCCACGACUGACGCUCAGACACGACAGCAUGGGGAGCGAACGGG
Molecule: ribosomal RNA, 253 nt
Filed under: uncultured bacterium
Lineage: Bacteria
Description: partial 16S ribosomal RNA
Rfam family: Bacterial small subunit ribosomal RNA
Source: RNAcentral